RNAcentral lists this long non-coding RNA (1216 nucleotides) under Homo sapiens (human). RNAcentral describes it as "HSALNT0155329". The record is from RNAcentral. Lineage: Eukaryota; Metazoa; Chordata; Mammalia; Primates; Hominidae.
AGAUGGACAUGUGACCCUCUCUUGGCCAAUCAGAGGCUUUCCUGCUGGAAGGGCUGCUGGAAGCCAUCUUCGCACGGUUCUUCCCUUGGCUUUAGAGCCCCGAAGCGCUCUUUGACUUGAGCUGCUUUGCAUUCUCUCUGUCCUGCCAUCGAGAAAGUUCUGAGCGGCUCAGAAGUAAUACUGACACUCUAUCCCUCCGAGGAAUUCUGCCCCAGACAGCAGAGAGAUGGGGGGCAGGGGACACAUGGCCAUGAGGACAGAGAGCCCUGAGAGGGACUGGGGAAUCGAGACAUCGUUUUCAAAUAAUUGCAGCAAUCAAGAGAGACUGUACAUCCCAUCCCAGACAAAGGGAGACCUGUGAGUCCUGAGUGAGGGCUGUUGAAAAAUGUGCUCUUUCCUCAUCAGAAAAUGAGAGAAUGGAGCUGGGCGCAGUGGUUCACGCCUGUAAUCCCUGCACUUUGGGAGGCCGAGGCAGGCAAAUCACCUGAGGUCAGGAGUUCCAGACCGGCUGGGCAACAUGGUGAAACCCUGUCUCUACUAAAAAUAUGAAAAAAAGUUAGCCAGGCGUCCGCGUGCCUGUAAUUCCAGCUACUCAGGAGACUGAGGCAGGAGAAUCGCUUGAACCUGGGAGGCAGAGGUUGCAGUGAGCCGAGAUCACGCCACUGCACUCCAGCCUGGGCGAUAAGAGUGAAACUCUGUCUCAAAAUAAAUAAAUAAAUAAAUAAAUAAAUAAUCUUAAAAAAAAUAAAAAGAAAACUAGAGAAUGAUGACUUCUGUUUACCAUGUGCCUGGUUUCCUGUCCUGUCUGUGAUCCUGUUGCUGUUUGCUGUCAACUGUUCCUGCUUCAGUGAUAUUAGAAGGGUUCAAGGAGAAUGUGGGUCCCCUCCUUGCCUGCUCUGGGCCUUCCCCUGUUUCUGGCCUGUUUCAUCUCCACCCCCGUUGGAUCUGAGCUCCUUGAGGGUGGCCCCUACACCCUGCAGUGCUGAGCAUUGGGAGGUGUGAGGGUUGCUGAAGGCUGGGGGUUGGUGCUUUUCUUCAUUCAGCAGUCAUCAUUUAUUGAGCACCCACUGUUUGCCAGCUCCUUGGCUAAGCAUUUCAAGCCCUGUUCCAUGGGCUCAGUCUUCCAGGGGCUGGCCGCUAACUACGCAUCGAUUGAUUUCCAGAAGGACAGAAGCACAUAGCAGGGCCUGGUCUCCACUGGGGGUGCCAGGAGCUG